This is a long non-coding RNA of Columba livia (rock pigeon), 1750 nucleotides long. RefSeq lists it as uncharacterized. Lineage: Eukaryota; Metazoa; Chordata; Aves; Columbiformes; Columbidae. The transcript has 2 exons. The record is from RefSeq and is a predicted model, not a curated record.
UCAGGGUGACUCAGCAGUUCACAAGAAUGUGUUUCCAUUUUCUUUCCGGUUGGAAGAUUGUGAACCUUCGCUAAUACUUUCUCCUAAAAUGCCACGAAACGGGCAAAAUGGGGACAUUAGAUUACCCAGAAGCAGCUCGACAGACUUUGUUCAGCAGAAGAGCCACGCGAAGUUCACAGACCCAUUCUCACACCGCUUUCUGGGCAGGAGCAGCAGGAAAUGUGUUCAAGGCUCAGCAGCUGUUCCCCACUGAGGAGUCGGUGACUUUCUUGGACUAGACUGGGCUUUGACUGGUUUUCUAUGGGAAAUAUUGGCCCCCAACCUGCUGCUAUGGUGAGUGUACUCUGCUCGUGAAACCCACACCUAAAGGAGUCCAAUGCAUUUACAAGCCAUUACACUUAUUUAAUAUCAAUGAAGACUAAAAAUCAGGGGUGUAUUGUAAGGGAGAGUUAAGCUAGAGAACUCCAUAACAUUGCAAAAUUGAUUAUUACCCAGUGAAAAGAUCACUUACAUUUUAAACAAAUGGAAGUACAGGUCAGUAUGCAUAUCAGUACUUCACAAGGUAUAUUCUUAUGGAGGAAAUAACAUGUUUCCCAAAUGCGAAUACUGUGUUCCAUAAUUUUCAAGAUACCAAUAAAAAUUUCAGGGCUAAAAAGGGGUAGAAACAUGCCGCUUAAAAAAUCAGAAGCUUCCUUUCUGUCCAAAGCACCAGCUAUCUUCUCAAAUAGUUAUUUUACAAAAAAAUCCUGAAAAGCAGGUAACUGCCAGCUCUGACCAAUGCUGCUGCCUUACGGGAGAAGUGGCCGUGGAACUAACCGCAUACCAGAACACUAACAGACCGGUUCUGUUGUGAAAGAUCCACCACAGGCACCAAGUGUUGGUCAGCCGAUAUCUAGAGGCCACAGGACCCUUCUGAGGAAAACACUGCAGAGCGAUGGGCCAGCUGUCCCUGGCAGGGUCCUCAGGUACCAUCGGUACCAAGUGUCACCUGUGGCUGCCCAGGGAGGUUGUGGAGUCUCCUUCUGUGCAGACAUUCCAACCCGCCUGGACACCUUCCUGUGUAACCUCAUCUGGGUGUUCCUGCUCCAUGGGGGGAUUGCACUGGACGAGCUUUCCAGGGCCCUUCCAACCCCUGACAUGCUGGGAUCCUGUGAUGGGUUUGUGUGGGCACUGGCACUCGAUCCCUGUGUACCGUCUCCCAUCCAGCAGAACAGCUCUAUGCCCCAAGGCUUUCAUGCUUCUAGGAGAGGAUUUUCCCCAAAGCAGAAUAAAUUAAAAAAUAAAAACCCGUGUGAGGUAGUCUCUGAACAACGAAAUAUUUUUCAAACUUAUCUAGAUGUAUAUGUUUAGUGGUUCUGUGCAUCUUGAUCCAAAGACUUGCUUUUCAAUUACCAAGAGAAAAGACAGUUCGCAUCAGCCUCUUGCUUCACAAUGCACACAAUAUAUGUAAUUUAUGUGAUUGCACUCAGUGACCCGUAUUAUUUCUUACUCUGAGCACAUAAGCUUUUCUAACAGAGUACAGAAGAUGUAUGCCAAAAACUCACUUCAGCGUAAAAGGCCCAUUCUCUCUCUCCAGCAGAUUUGGUUAGAAUGGGUUUUCCAAGUCUGUUGCCAUCUGCUCACUAGAGAUAUUCUGGAGCUGUUCUUUGGCUGUUGGCUUCCCAAUAUUAACAAAAUUGCCGCAUAUUUCAGAAGAAAAGGCCUCACAAUUUCUGUAAAGAUACUGAAUCACAAUAUUAUCAAAACAAAA